RNAcentral lists this ribosomal RNA (498 nucleotides) under uncultured bacterium. Its description in RNAcentral is "bacterial SSU rRNA". It matches the Rfam family "Bacterial small subunit ribosomal RNA", at positions 28 to 514 of the family's 1533-position model. The record is from RNAcentral.
GAUGAACGCUAGCUACAGGCUUAACACAUGCAAGUCGAGGGGAAACGAUAUUGGAAGCUUGCUUCCGAUAGGCGUCGACCGGCGCACGGGUGAGUAACGCGUAUCCAACCUGCCCAUCACUUGGGGAUAACCUUGCGAAAGUAAGACUAAUACCCAAUGACGUCUCUAGAAGACAUCUGAAGGAGAUUAAAGAUUUAUCGGUGAUGGAUGGGGAUGCGUCUGAUUAGCUUGUUGGCGGGGUAACGGCCCACCAAGGCGACGAUCAGUAGGGGUUCUGAGAGGAAGGUCCCCCANAUUGGAACUGAGACACGGUCCAAAACUCCUACGGGAGCAGCAGUGAGGAAUAUUGGUCAAUGGGCAGAGCCUGAACCAGCCAAGUAGCGUGCAGGAUGACGGCCCUAUGGGUUGUAAACUGCUUUUAUAAGGGAAUAAAGUGAGUCUCGUGAGACUUUUUGCAUGUACCUUAUGAAUAAGGACCGGCUAAUUCCGUGCCAGCAG